AUGGAUGUUGGACGAAUAAAGAGAUCUGGAGAAUUAAAUACUAGAGUAAUUGAAUCAUCAGAAAAUACUCUAGGUGGAAAAAGAGAAAAACCUGAAUAUGGACAGAGAAGGAACAGAACUCAGAGAGAAGAGCAGGGAGUGGACCUCAAGAUCAGACUUCAAAACAGGAAAGCAGGUUACUGGAUAUUGAUGCUGGCAGCCAAGUCUUGGAGGCAGAAUGGCCACACAAAUGGAAGGAAACUGCGAGUCUGAAUCACAACAUGGAGCAGAGCCACUAGACUGCAGACCAGGAACACUUGCCUCCUCCCAAAGUGAACAAAAUGUUCAUUUUGCUAGUGCUAAGCCAAUUGGAAAUUUUAGUUUUUCUGGUAAAGCAGCUGAAGUGAAUUAAUGCUGCUACAGAUAGUAAUAAAUUUUCUCCUGAGAUGCUUUGUUCUCCGGAA
RNAcentral lists this long non-coding RNA (443 nucleotides) under Oryctolagus cuniculus (rabbit). RNAcentral's name for it is "lncRNA (ENSOCUG00000030166.1)". Lineage: Eukaryota; Metazoa; Chordata; Mammalia; Lagomorpha; Leporidae. The record is from RNAcentral.